Molecule: long non-coding RNA, 702 nt
Filed under: Citrus x clementina
Lineage: Eukaryota; Viridiplantae; Streptophyta; Magnoliopsida; Sapindales; Rutaceae
Description: Citrus clementina (C. clementina) long non-coding RNA (CCLE_LNC000835)
Source: RNAcentral
AAUUUUAGGGUUAUUAAUUUCUUAAUUCUCUAACUAUUUCCCUUGAAUUUUUUUUACUUUGUUUUAUUGUUUAUUUUACACUUGCAAUAGAGUUUUUUGGCUUCAAUAGGAAAUGUCUUUGAUGCCCUUAUGACAUCAGCAAAACAUCAGUAAAUUUUUAACUUUUUUAACGGAAUGGUGGUAAAUUGAUAACAGCGCAAACGUUUGGUGCUAAAAUGCUAUGUUCGACAAACCGUGGUACUGACAUGAUAUGUCAAAAUAACUUUAGUGGUAAAAUGAUAAUAUCCCUUUUUUAAAUUUAAUAUAUAAGUGUAUAAAUAAAUAAGUAUUUAAAAUAUUAUCUAAAGCAUAAAUAACCUCAUCGUCAGUUAGAUCGAAUUAUAGUGAUUUGAUUUAGGUCGAAUUAUAGUGAUUUGAUUAGUUAUAAUAAAUCAUAUAGGUCGACCAAUAAAAUUAUACUAAAGUAAAUGACCAAAACUUAUACAAUUGAGAUAUUAACAAAAGAUAUCUUCACAUAAAAUGCAUGUAACGAAUUUGAGCUCCAUUCACCUAUUGGAUCUUUUUUUAAAUACUCUCCACCAUUAUUAGAAUUGGUCUUACCAUUUGGUUUCUUCAUUCACCUUGUUGAAUUAAAAUCUUAGUUCAGCCACUACGUCAUAUUGAAAGAGUUAAUACCUAUAUAAUCAUUGAAAAAAAUAAUAA